GCUCCACAGCCCAACUCCAGACAAACACAACCUCAGGAUUUCCCCUGCGCCGCCAAGACGCAGCUGCACCAGCAGGUGGCAGUGCGGAGUCGCAGGGUCUCAGGGUCUCACAGUGAAAUUCUGGCUGAACUGGAACUCAGAGAUCUGCCUCUACCUUCCAAGCGCUGGAAUUUAAAGAUGUACCCCACCACACCUAGCUCUAUGGCUUAGUUUCUUGUUUUGUUUCCACCCUGGGUUUCUCUGUUGAACAGCCCUAGUUAUUCUGGGACUCAUUCUAUAAGAUCAGGCUGGCCUCAAACUCACAGAUUCAACUGCCUCUGCCUCUAGAGUGCUGGAAUUAAAGGUGUGUCCCACCAUGCCUACCUUCAUGGACUAGUUCUUAAGAAUCCUCAAAGUGGGGACUGGAGAGCUGGCUCGGUGGUUAGGGCCACUAACUUCCCUUCCAGAAGUCCAGAGUUUGAUUCCCAGCAUCCACAUGGAGGCCCAGCCAUCUGUACUGGGAUCCAACGCCCUCUUCUGCUGUGUCUGACGAGAGCUACAGUUUACUCACAUACAUAAAAUACAUAAAUAAAAA
Rattus norvegicus (Norway rat) is the source of this 574-nucleotide non-coding RNA. NCBI's taxonomy places the organism in Eukaryota, Metazoa, Chordata, Mammalia, Rodentia, Muridae. The record is from RefSeq and is a predicted model, not a curated record.